Molecule: ribosomal RNA, 433 nt
Filed under: uncultured bacterium
Lineage: Bacteria
Description: partial 16S ribosomal RNA
Rfam family: Bacterial small subunit ribosomal RNA
Source: RNAcentral
AACGAACGCUGGCGGCAUGCCUAACACAUGCAAGUCGAACGAGACCUUCGGGUCUAGUGGCGCACGGGUGCGUAACGCGUGGGAACCUGCCCUUAGGUUGGGAAGAACUCCCCGAAUGGGGUGCUAAUACCGGAUAAUGUCUUCGGACCAAAGAUUUAUCGCCUUUGGAUGGGCCCGCGUUGGAUUAGCUAGUUGGUAGGGUAAAAGCCUACCAAGGCGACGAUCCAUAGCUGGUUUGAGAGGAUGGUCAGCCACACUGGGACUGAGACACGGCCCAGACUCCUACGGGAGGCAGCAGUGGGGAAUAUUGGACAAUGGGCGGAGGCCUGAUCCAGCAAUGCCGCGUGAGUGAUGAAGGCCUUAGGGUUGUAAAGCUCUUUUACCCGGGAUGAUAAUGACAGUACCGGGAGAAUAAGCUCCGGCUAACUCCGUG